GCACUGAUGGUGUAAAUGGUCAGCAUUGCUGCUGUCAUGGCAGCCGGUCUGGGUUCAAAUCCCAGUCAGUGCA
Paramuricea clavata is the source of this 73-nucleotide non-coding RNA. NCBI's taxonomy places the organism in Eukaryota, Metazoa, Cnidaria, Anthozoa, Malacalcyonacea, Plexauridae. The record is from the annotation of a GenBank genome assembly.